UACGGAGGGUGCAAGCGUUAUCCGGAUUCACUGGGUUUAAAGGGUGCGUAGGAGGGCAGGGAAGUCAGUGGUGAAAUCUCCGGGCUUAACUCGGAAACUGCCGUUGAUACUCUCUGUCUUGAAUACCGUGGAGGUGAGCGGAAUAUGUCAUGUAGCGGUGAAAUGCUUAGAUAUGACAUAGAACACCCAUUGCGAAGGCAGCUAACUACACGAUCAUUGACACUGAGGCACGAAAGCGUGGGGAGCAAACAGG
Molecule: ribosomal RNA, 253 nt
Filed under: uncultured bacterium
Lineage: Bacteria
Description: partial 16S ribosomal RNA
Rfam family: Bacterial small subunit ribosomal RNA
Source: RNAcentral